GAUGAACGCUGGCGGCGUGCUUAACACAUGCAAGUCGAACGAGAAGUGGAGACGGACACCUUCGGGCGGAAGACUUUAUUUCGAGUGGCGGACGGGUGAGUAACGCGUGGGUAACCUGCCUCAUACAGGGGGAUAACAGUUGGAAACGACUGUUAAUACCGCAUAAGACCACAGCACCGCAUGGUGCGGGGGUAGAAACUCCGGUGGUAUGAGAUGGACCCGCGUUCGAUUAGCCAGUUGGCGGGGUAACGGCCCACCAAAGCGACGAUCGAUAGCCGAUCUGAGAGGAUGACCGGCCACAUUGGGACUGAGACACGGCCCAAACUCCUACGGGAGGCAGCAGUGGGGAAUAUUGCACAAUGGGGGAAACCCUGAUGCAGCGACGCCGCGUGAGUGAAGAAGUAUUUCGGUAUGUAAAGCUCUAUCAGCAGGGAAGAAAAUGACGGUACCUGAGUAAGAAGCCCCGGCUAACUACGUG
This 478-nucleotide ribosomal RNA is filed under the name uncultured bacterium. RNAcentral describes it as "partial 16S ribosomal RNA". It matches the Rfam family "Bacterial small subunit ribosomal RNA", at positions 28 to 507 of the family's 1533-position model. The record is from RNAcentral.